CAAGUCACAGUGGAAGCCGAAUGGGGAUUCCGUCCGCUCUCCGAUAGUCAAGCCACUAACCGGCUGAUUAGUAGUUGGGUCGGUGAUGACCAGCGAAUCCCUGCUCUGCUGCCAAGAUA
Molecule: ribosomal RNA, 119 nt
Filed under: Fusarium oxysporum Fo47
Lineage: Eukaryota; Fungi; Ascomycota; Sordariomycetes; Hypocreales; Nectriaceae
Also listed under: 1 other name
Source: RNAcentral